GUGGGAUUAGCUCAGCUGGUUAGAGCGUCGGAUUGUGGUUCCGAAGGUCAUGGGUUCGAACCCCAUAUUCCACCCCA
Molecule: transfer RNA, 77 nt
Filed under: Bacteroidales bacterium
Lineage: Bacteria; Pseudomonadati; Bacteroidota; Bacteroidia; Bacteroidales
Also listed under: 2 other names
Description: tRNA-His
Rfam family: tRNA
About the family: Transfer RNA (tRNA) molecules are approximately 80 nucleotides in length.
Source: RNAcentral